UCCGGCGGUACGGGAUGGGCCCGCGUCUGAUUAGCUUGUUGGCGGGGUAACGGCCCACCAAGGCAGCGAUCAGUAGCCGAUCUGAGAGGAUGGCCGGCCACAUUGGGACUGAGACACGGCCCAAACUCCUACGGGAGGCAGCAGUGGGGAAUAUUGCACAAUGGGGGAAACCCUGAUGCAGCAACGCCGCGUGAGUGAAGAAGUAUUUCGGUAUGUAAAGCUCUAUCAGCAGGGAAGAGAAUGACGGUACCUGACUAAGAAGCCCCGGCUAACUACGUGCCAGCAGCCGCGGUAAUACGUAGGGGGCAAGCGUUAUCCGGAUUUACUGGGUGUAAAGGGAGCGUAGACGGCUGGCCAAGUCUGAAGUGAAAGCCCGGGGCUUAACCCCGGAACGGCUUUGGAAACUGGCUGGCUGGAGUGCUGGAGAGGCAGGCGGAAUUCCUGGUGUAGCGGUGAAAUGCGUAGAUAUCAGGAGGAACACCGGUGGCGAAGGCGGCCUGCUGGACAGUAACUGACGUUGAGGCUCGAAAGCGUGGGGAGCAAACAGGAUUAGAUACCCUGGUAGUCCACGCGGUAAACGAUGAAUGCUAGGUGUCGGGGGGCAAAGCCCUUCGGUGCCGCCGCAAACG
Molecule: ribosomal RNA, 629 nt
Filed under: uncultured bacterium
Lineage: Bacteria
Description: bacterial SSU rRNA
Rfam family: Bacterial small subunit ribosomal RNA
Source: RNAcentral